Molecule: ribosomal RNA, 392 nt
Filed under: uncultured bacterium
Lineage: Bacteria
Description: bacterial SSU rRNA
Rfam family: Bacterial small subunit ribosomal RNA
Source: RNAcentral
AGCGAACGCUGGCGGCAGGCCUAAUACAUGCAAGUCGAACGCACCUUCGGGUGAGUGGCGGACGGGUGAGUAACACGUGGGAACGUGCCCUUUGGUUCGGAAUAAUCCGGGGAAACCUGGCCUAAUACCGGAUGUGCCCUACGGGGGAAAGAUUUAUCGCCAUUGGAGCGGCCCGCGUCUGAUUAGCUAGUUGGUGAGGUAAAGGCUCACCAAGGCUACGAUCAGUAGCUGGUCUGAGAGGAUGAUCAGCCACACUGGGACUGAGACACGGCCCAGACUCCUACGGGAGGCAGCAGUAGGGAAUCUUGCGCAAUGGGCGAAAGCCUGACGCAGCCAUGCCGCGUGAAUGAUGAAGGUCUUAGGAAUUGUAAAAUUCUUUCAGCAGGGAAGAU